UACGUAGGGUGCGAGCGUUGCCCGGAUUUAUUGGGCGUAGAGGGCGCGUAGGCGGCCACGCACGUCCGUUGUGAAAUCGCCCGGCUCAACUGGGCGGGGUCAGCGGAUACGGUGUGGCUCGAGCAAGCUAGGGGGCAAUGGAAUUCCCGGUGUAGUGGUGGAAUGCGUAGAUAUCGGGAGGAACACCAGUGGCGAAGGCGGUUGCCUGGAGCUUUGCUGACGCUGAGGCGCGAAAGCGUGGGGAGCGAUCCGG
Molecule: ribosomal RNA, 253 nt
Filed under: uncultured bacterium
Lineage: Bacteria
Description: partial 16S ribosomal RNA
Rfam family: Bacterial small subunit ribosomal RNA
Source: RNAcentral